RNAcentral lists this ribosomal RNA (469 nucleotides) under uncultured bacterium. Its description in RNAcentral is "partial 16S ribosomal RNA". It matches the Rfam family "Bacterial small subunit ribosomal RNA", at positions 28 to 507 of the family's 1533-position model. The record is from RNAcentral.
GACGAACGCUGGCGGCGUGCUUAUCACAUGCAAGUCGAACGGAAAGGCCCUGCUUUUGUGGGGUGCUCGAGUGGCGAACGGGUGAGUAACACGUGAGUAACCUGCCCUUGACUUUGGGAUAACUUCAGGAAACUGGGGCUAAUACCGGAUAGGAGCUCCUGCUGCAUGGUGGGGGUUGGAAAGUUUCGGCGGUUGGGGAUGGACUCGCGGCUUAUCAGCUUGUUGGUGGGGUAGUGGCUUACCAAGGCUUUGACGGGUAGCCGGCCUGAGAGGGUGACCGGCCACAUUGGGACUUGAGAUACGGCCCAGACUCCUACGGGAGGCAGCAGUGGGGAAUAUUGCACAAUGGGCGGAAGCCUGAUGCAGCAACGCCGCGUGCGGGAUGACGGCCUUCGGGUUGUAAACCGCUUUCGCCUGUGACGAAGCGUGAGUGACGGUAAUGGGUAAAGAAGCACCGGCUAACUACGUG